Molecule: small RNA, 290 nt
Filed under: Gillisella taibaishanensis
Lineage: Bacteria; Pseudomonadati; Pseudomonadota; Alphaproteobacteria; Hyphomicrobiales; Rhizobiaceae
Description: Rhizobium taibaishanense 5' ureB small RNA
Rfam family: 5' ureB small RNA
Source: RNAcentral
CUUCCUCGAUCUGCUGCGGGCAGAUGAAAUGGAUAUGCGCGUCCAUGCCGCCGGCGGUGACGAUCUUGCCUUCGCCGGCAAUCGCCUCCGUGCCCGGACCGACGAUAAUGUCUACGCCCGGCUGCGUAUCCGGGUUGCCGGCCUUGCCGAUGGCGACGAUGCGUCCGUCCUUCAGGCCGAUAUCGGCUUUGACGAUGCCCCAGUGAUCGAUGAUCAGUGCGUUGGUGAUAACGGUAUCGACCGCGCCAUUGGCACGCGUCACCUGGCUCUGGCCCAUGCCGUCGCGGAUG